AUUGAACGCUGGCGGCAUGCCUUACACAUGCAAGUCGAACGGCAGCGGGGGAGAAGCUUGCUUUUCCUGCCGGCGAGUGGCGAACGGGUGAGUAAUACAUCGGAACGUGGCCUGUAGUGGGGGAUAACUAGUCGAAAGAUUAGCUAAUACCGCAUACGACCUGAGGGUGAAAGUGGGGGACCGCAACGCAUCAAGAUAUAGGAGCGGCCGAUGUCUGAUUAGCUAGUUGGUGGGGUAAAGGCCUACCAAGGCGACGAUCAGGAGCUGGUCUGAGAGGACGAUCAGCCACACUGGGACUGAGACACGGCCCAGACUCCUACGGGAGGCAGCAGUGGGGAAUUUUGGACAAUGGGCGAAAGCCUGAUCCAGCAAUGCCGCGUGUGUGAAGAAGGCCUUCGGGUUGUAAAGCACUUUUGUCCGGAAAGAGAUGGCUCUGGUUAAUACCUGGGGUCGAUGACGGUACCGGAAGAAUAAGGACCGGCUAACUACGUGCCAGCCGCCGCAGUAA
This 508-nucleotide ribosomal RNA is filed under the name uncultured bacterium. RNAcentral's name for it is "partial 16S ribosomal RNA". It matches the Rfam family "Bacterial small subunit ribosomal RNA", at positions 30 to 523 of the family's 1533-position model. The record is from RNAcentral.